This 252-nucleotide ribosomal RNA is filed under the name uncultured bacterium. RNAcentral's name for it is "partial 16S ribosomal RNA". It matches the Rfam family "Bacterial small subunit ribosomal RNA", at positions 524 to 776 of the family's 1533-position model. The record is from RNAcentral.
UACGGAGGGUGCGAGCGUUGUCCGGAAUCAUUGGGCGUAAAGGGCGCGUAGGUGGCGGCUUAAGCGUGCGGUGAAAGCUCGGGGCUCAACCCCGAGUCGGCCGUGCGAACUGAGUCGCUUGAGCACUGUAGAGGCAGGCGGAAUUCCCGGUGUAGCGGUGAAAUGCGCAGAUAUCGGGAAGAACACCCGUGGCGAAGGCGGCUCUCUGGGACGUACUGACGCUGAGACGCGAAAGCGUGGGGAGCGAACAGG